UUUGUUGGCAUUUUCCAACCAUAAAAUUUAGUCAGUUGCAAUCCAUAUCAUGUCAAAAUUAAGAAAUUUACACACAAUAAAUAUUUGAGAAAUAAUCUAGAAAUUAAACUCAUGAUCAAUAGUUCUUUUAUCCAUAGCUGUAAUGAGAGUUUUCUUCGCAUGAAGUUAUGAUGCAAUGAUCAAAGACCUGGUCCAAGCACCUUCAGUUUGGUGAAUUCUUUGCAGUAAAUCCCACAGAAGCCAUAACAAUUUGACACAGGAGUAGACAACAACAGACGAUGCAACAAGCAAGGCACAUGCAUCUGCUGAUCAAUUGUCCUCUCAUUUUCUGCUACCAAACUACUUUGACCUUCCCAUCCAUAACAUGUUUUCUUCAUGAAACAUAUCCCUUCUAAGGACAAAUUCAACCAAUUUUUUUU
RNAcentral lists this unclassified non-coding RNA (419 nucleotides) under Hevea brasiliensis (rubber tree). The record is from RNAcentral. Lineage: Eukaryota; Viridiplantae; Streptophyta; Magnoliopsida; Malpighiales; Euphorbiaceae.